RNAcentral lists this ribosomal RNA (498 nucleotides) under uncultured bacterium. Its description in RNAcentral is "bacterial SSU rRNA". It matches the Rfam family "Bacterial small subunit ribosomal RNA", at positions 37 to 507 of the family's 1533-position model. The record is from RNAcentral.
UGGCGGCGUGCUUAACACAUGCAAGUCGAACGAAGCAUUUGCGACGGAUUCUUUCGGGAUGAAGAUGCUUAUGACUGAGUGGCGGACGGGUGAGUAACGCGUGGGUAACCUGCCUUGUACAGGGGGAUAACAGUUGGAAACGGCUGCUAAUACCGCAUAAGCGCACAGUACCGCAUGGUUUAGUGUGAAAAACUCCGGUGGUAUAAGAUGGACCCGCGUUUGAUUAGCUAGUUGGUGGGGCAACGGCCUACCAAGGCGACGAUCAGUAGCCGGUCUGAGAGGAUGAACGGCCACAUUGGAACUGAGACACGGUCCAGACUCCUACGGGAGGCAGCAGUGGGGAAUCUUCCGCAAUGGGCGAAAGCCUGACGGAGCAACGCCGCGUGAGUGAAGAAGGUCUUCGGAUCGUAAAGCUCUGUUGUCGGGGACGAAUGUUGAGACCAAGAACAUAGGUUUCAAAUGACGGUACCUGACGAGGAAGCCACGGCUAACUACGUG